GAGGGCAAACAAAACAAAUAACAAAAUGAGCGGCCUGAGAGAUAGAACAAAGAAACAGUGCGGCUCCAGCUUUAAAGAGGGGGCCGCAAUUAAGAGAGGGACUGAGAGAGGGAGUGUACACUGUACAGAGGUUUAAGAAGCACUGAUAGAGUGUGCUUGUGGAAGGUAGGGCAUUCCAAGCAGGCGACUCUCCAAGAAUUUUGUACCUUUAAGGCAGGAAUGCCCACAGUUUUAGCAGCACUGCUUCGCUGGGAGGUGGGGGCUACCUGUUGGCAAUGUGACAGCAAAUGCACAAAAGGAAGUGGCAGGCCCCAAAUAAAAAAAGAGGGGCACAGACGGGGAGGGGUACGGCGGGACGAGGCAACAACUUUAUAAAAGCGCAUUUAGCAAACAAAGCAAAAGUGACGACAACGACAACGACGACGACGACGCCAAGAAAACAGAUGGCGGAAUGGAAUGGCAUGGUUUUUGUUGGCUUUUUUGUUUGCUGCUUGUACGGUGGGCACUCUCGUGAGUAAAAAAAAGGCACUGUUCUCAUUGUGGUUAAUACUGUUUGGCAGCAACAGUCGCCGACUGAAGAAAGGAACGAGGGGCAGGGGCCGGGCAGGCCACAGCCUGGAAGGACGAAGCGCUACCUCCGAGGACCGAAGCUUAAGAUACCCUAGGAUACCCUUCCCUCAAGGAAAUGCUCAAAACCAGUAUACCUUCUGCCAGGGUAUCGAAAACGUCAGGGCGACAUUACUUGCAUUCCAAAAAGCUAUUGCGGCCGGCGGGGGAGAGAGGGAGGGCACGGAAGCUUUUUAAGAGAGAGCAUUUCUUAGAUUGAUGGCCUUUGAAAGCUCUCCGAGCAGCCUCCGGGGGCUGUUUGAUAUUCCGCAUUCGAUACAAUGAAUCGAUUUCGAUAUUCCCCUGGUAAGUCACUCGAUGAACACUUUCGAACACACAACAUUGGGAUUAUAUGUAUAUCGGGGUCUUGGGUACUUACCUAAACGCAAUUCGCCAAAAUUACCACAGCCAAUUUUUUUACCGACACGAAAAUUUGGUCCGACCAUAAGUACACCGGUCGUGGUGCUUACAGAUUGGCGGGUGG
Long non-coding RNA from Drosophila miranda, 1090 nucleotides. RefSeq lists it as uncharacterized. The record is from RefSeq and is a predicted model, not a curated record. NCBI's taxonomy places the organism in Eukaryota, Metazoa, Arthropoda, Insecta, Diptera, Drosophilidae. The transcript has 2 exons.